Molecule: ribosomal RNA, 468 nt
Filed under: uncultured bacterium
Lineage: Bacteria
Description: partial 16S ribosomal RNA
Rfam family: Bacterial small subunit ribosomal RNA
Source: RNAcentral
GACGAACGCUGGCGGCGUGCUUAACACAUGCAAGUCGAACGGAAAGGCCCUGCUUUUGUUGGGUUCUCGAUUGGCGAACGGGUGAGUAACACGUGUGUAUCCUGCCCUUGACUUUGUGAUAACUUCACGAAACUGGGGCUAAUACCGGAUAGGAUCUCCUGCUGCAUGGUGGGCGUUGGAGAGUUACGGCGGUUGGGGCUGGACUAGCGGCUUAUCAGCUUGUUUGUGUGGUAGUGGAUGACGAAGGCUUUGACGGGUAGCCGGCCUGAGAGGGUGACCGGCCACCUUAGGACUGCGAGACGGACCAGAAUGCUACGGGACGCAGUAGUGGGGAAUAUUGCACAAUGGGCGGAAGCCUGAGGCAGCAACGCCGCGUGCGGGAUGACGGCCUUCGGGUUGUAAACAGAUUUCGAAGGUGACGAAGCGUGAGUGACGGUAAUGGGUAAAGAAGCCCCGGCUAACUACGUG